AACCGUCGACAGUCAGGCAACGAGCGAGACCCACGCCCACAGUUGCCAGCGUACUCUCCGGAGUGACGGGUACACUGUGGGGACCGCCGCUGCUAAAGCGGAGGAAGGAAUGGGCAACGGUAGGUCAGUAUGCCCCGAAUAUCCCGGGCUACACGCGAGCUACAAUGGUUGGUACAAUGGGUAUCUACCCCGAAAGGGGACGGGAAUCUCCUAAAACCAAUCUUAGUUCGGAUUGAGGGCUGCAACUCGCCCUCAUGAAGCUGGAAUCCGUAGUAAUCGCGUUUCAACAGAACGCGGUGAAUACGUCCCUGCUCCUUGCACGAAUUCGCCG
RNAcentral lists this ribosomal RNA (331 nucleotides) under uncultured archaeon. RNAcentral's name for it is "bacterial SSU rRNA". It matches the Rfam family "Archaeal small subunit ribosomal RNA", at positions 1019 to 1352 of the family's 1478-position model. The record is from RNAcentral.